This 500-nucleotide ribosomal RNA is filed under the name uncultured bacterium. RNAcentral describes it as "partial 16S ribosomal RNA". It matches the Rfam family "Bacterial small subunit ribosomal RNA", at positions 30 to 523 of the family's 1533-position model. The record is from RNAcentral.
AUUGAACGCUGGCGGCAUGCCUUACACAUGCAAGUCGAACGGCAGCACGGGAGCAAUCCUGGUGGCGAGUGGCGAACGGGUGAGUAAUAUAUCGGAACGUGCCCAGUCGUGGGGGAUAACGCAGCGAAAGCUACGCUAAUACCGCAUACGAUCUAUGGAUGAAAGCGGGGGAUCGCAAGACCUCGCGCGAUUGGAGCGGCCGAUAUCAGAUUAGUUAGUUGGUGAGGUAAAGGCUCACCAAGCCGACGAUCUGUAGCUGGUCUGAGAGGACGACCAGCCACACGGGGACUGAGACACGGCCCAGACUCAUACGGGAGGCAGCAGUGGGGAAUUGUGGACAAGGGGCGCAAGCCUGAUCCAGCAAUGCCGCGUGCAGGAUGAAGGCCUUCGGGUUGUAAACUGCUUUUGUACGGAACGAAACGGCGAGCUCUAAUACAGUUUGCUAAUGACGGUACCGUAAGAAUAAGCACCGGCUAACUACGUGCCAGCCGCCGCAGUAA